This 303-nucleotide ribosomal RNA is filed under the name Triticum aestivum (bread wheat). RNAcentral describes it as "partial small subunit ribosomal RNA". The record is from RNAcentral. Lineage: Eukaryota; Viridiplantae; Streptophyta; Magnoliopsida; Poales; Poaceae.
AUGUGUACUCUUAACAUAUUCAAUAUGGUCGUUUUCUUUUCCCAACAAUCUAAGGAAAUGAAGCUCAAAUUUUGGGUGCGCAGUCACUUUGUUCUGUUUAGUUGCUUCAAAGUUUGUCAAGAUCAAGCGGCGGAAGGGCCUAUGAAGGCACUAGGCGUGCCAUGUGAGUUUUGUCAACUUGUAGGUCACAAAAUUACACAGAUGGAUGGUUCAGAACUUCAGAUUGCUUUUUUGGUAGUAGGAAAUGAGCUGGGAUUGUUCUUAAAAUGUAUCACCCACGAUCACCAAGAUCAGUUCUACUAA